CACAACUUAAUUGAUCUCUUUCUCUUAUAAUAAUACUACGUACAUCACAAAUCACCUUAUCAAAAACAGUGUGACACGCCUCAUAGUUUGUACUAUAAACCACAAAUCGUCUUACUAAUAAUAUUUCACAGAUGUGUUUUUUUUUUUUGUGUUUGUGUGUUCAAUCAGGUAAACUAAUUUGCAUAUUAUAACACCAGGUACCAGGACCACAGGAUUAAUAUUAAUAUUAACAUUAAAACUUAAAAAUAAUAUAAUAACAAGGAAUUAGUAGAAAAACAAUAAUGUAUUUUUACAAUAUUAUUUCAACUAAAAUCCAGAGACAUAACAGUAUUUCUA
Molecule: long non-coding RNA, 336 nt
Filed under: Capsella rubella
Lineage: Eukaryota; Viridiplantae; Streptophyta; Magnoliopsida; Brassicales; Brassicaceae
Description: long non-coding RNA (CRUB_LNC003613)
Source: RNAcentral